CAAAGGUUUGGUCCUGACUUUACUGUCAGCUUUAGCUAGAUUUACACAUGCAAGUAUCCGCCCCCCUGUGAGAAUGCCCAUAGUGCCCUUUUCGGGAACAAGGAGCUGGUAUCAGGCACACAUUUACGUAGCCCACGACACCUUGCUUAGCCACACCCCCAAGGGAAUCCAGCAGUGAUAAAUAUUAAGCCAUAAGUGAAAACUUGACUUAGUUAAAGCUAAGAGAGCCGGUAAAACUCGUGCCAGCCACCGCGGUUAUACGAGAGGCUCAAGUUGACAGACAACGGCGUAAAGAGUGGUUAAGGAAAAUACUCAACUAAAGCGGAACCCCCUCAUCGCUGUCAUACGCUUCCGAGGGGAUGAACCCCAACUACGAAGGUGGCUUUAUAAAACCCGAACCCACGAAAGCUAAGAAACAAACUGGGAUUAGAUACCCCACUAUGCUUAGCCUUAAACAUUGAUUAUCUAUUACAUCAAACAUCCGCCCGGGAAUUACGAACAUUAGUUUAAAACCCAAAGGACUUGGCGGUGCUUAACAUCCACCUAGAGGAGCCUGUUCUAGAACCGAUAACCCCCGUUCAACCUCACCCUCCCUAGCCUUUUCCGCCUAUAUACCGCCGUCGUCAGCUUACCCUGUGAAGUAUUAAUAGUAAGCGCAAUUGGUAUAACCCAAAACGUCAGGCCGAGGUGUAGUGCAUGAGAGGGGAAGAAAUGCGCUACAUUCGCUGCUCAUCAGCGAAUAACGAAUGAUGCAUUGAAACAUGCAGCUGAAGGAGGAUUUAGCAGUAAGCAGGAAAUAGAGUGUUCCGCUGAAACCGGCUCUUAAGCGCGCACACACCGCCCGUCACCCUCCCCAAGCUCCUGGACCCCAACAGUAAUUUUAAACCCUAACAAAUGCGAAGGAGAGGAAAGUCGUAACAUGGUAAGCGUACCGGAAGGUGAGCUUGGUAAAAU
This 954-nucleotide non-coding RNA is filed under the name Decapterus russelli (Indian scad). RNAcentral describes it as "12S ribosomal RNA". It matches the Rfam family "Bacterial small subunit ribosomal RNA". Lineage: Eukaryota; Metazoa; Chordata; Actinopteri; Carangiformes; Carangidae. The record is from RNAcentral.